GGCCUGAUAGUUCAGUGGUAGAAUUCUUGCUUUGGGUUAUUCCUAAAAUGUAAGAGGUCUCCGGUUCGAUCCCGGAUUAGGCCC
RNAcentral lists this transfer RNA (84 nucleotides) under Erysiphe necator (grape powdery mildew). It matches the Rfam family "tRNA". From Rfam's summary of the family: Transfer RNA (tRNA) molecules are approximately 80 nucleotides in length. Their secondary structure includes four short double-helical elements and three loops (D, anti-codon, and T loops). The record is from Rfam by way of RNAcentral. Lineage: Eukaryota; Fungi; Ascomycota; Leotiomycetes; Helotiales; Erysiphaceae.